RNAcentral lists this long non-coding RNA (452 nucleotides) under Gossypium barbadense (sea-island cotton). Its description in RNAcentral is "long non-coding RNA (GBAR_LNC003863)". The record is from RNAcentral. Lineage: Eukaryota; Viridiplantae; Streptophyta; Magnoliopsida; Malvales; Malvaceae.
GUGGACGUUAGUUUUGAGUCACCUGAUUACUCGUCGAAGAAAGUAACAACUCGGUUGCAUGCAGUGGUAAAUUCCCACAAUCACAAGCUUCAAAGGAAAACCUGUAAAGCAUCGGUUAGUGAUGAGAGCAAAAACGAGGUCGAUAAGAAGGAUAAGAAGAUGGAGAAAGAGAGGGCAACUGCAAGUGUUUCAUCGCGUGACAGUGGGUGUUUCAGCAGCGAAGGAACCGAAAACGAGGAGACCAAAACGCUAAUCUCCGCUUCACUAAGCUUCUCGGACGAUUCAUUCCUCGAGUUGAAUGAAUCACUGGCUGGCGAAUCCCAUAACGAAACCAAAAAGAGCAAGAAAGAGAUAAAUAAUGGGAAGAAAAUGAAGAGACCGAGAAGCUUUGGUUCAAAGAAAUACAGAGGACCUUCGAAACCUAACUGUUCAAAGACAAAGACAAAGACGGG